AGGUGGUACAGUGGGUUGUGCAUCUGGCUGUUAACCAAAAGGUUACUGGUUCAAGCCCACCCAGGGAUG
Podarcis lilfordi (Lilford's wall lizard) is the source of this 69-nucleotide non-coding RNA. The record is from the annotation of a GenBank genome assembly. NCBI's taxonomy places the organism in Eukaryota, Metazoa, Chordata, Lepidosauria, Squamata, Lacertidae.